GAUGACUGGCUUACGGUGGCCAAGAGUUCAUAGUCAUGUCGCUUUUUGGCCUUUGAUGCCGGUCCUUCCUAUCAUUGUGAAGCAGAAUUCACCAAGCGUUGAAUUGUUCACCCACUAAUAGGGAAUGUGAUCUAGGUUUAGACUGUAAUGAGAUGAGUU
This 159-nucleotide non-coding RNA is filed under the name Apaloderma vittatum (bar-tailed trogon). RNAcentral's name for it is "Eukaryotic large subunit ribosomal RNA". It matches the Rfam family "Eukaryotic large subunit ribosomal RNA", at positions 2825 to 2984 of the family's 3401-position model. The record is from Rfam by way of RNAcentral. Lineage: Eukaryota; Metazoa; Chordata; Aves; Trogoniformes; Trogonidae.